Molecule: ribosomal RNA, 253 nt
Filed under: uncultured bacterium
Lineage: Bacteria
Description: partial 16S ribosomal RNA
Rfam family: Bacterial small subunit ribosomal RNA
Source: RNAcentral
UACGGGGGGGGCAAGCGUUGUUCGGAAUUACUGGGCGUAAAGGGUGCGUAGGCGGCUCUCUAAGUCGGAUGUGAAAACUCUGGGCUCAACCCAGAGCCUGCAUCCGAAACUGGAGGGCUAGGGUUUUGGAGGGGAAAGCGGAAUUCCAGGUGUAGCGGUGAAAUGCGUAGAUAUCUGGAGGAACACCGGUGGCGAAGGCGGCUUUCUGGACAAAUACCGACGCUGAGGCACGAAAGCUAGGGGAGCAAACAGG